AAAUUGAAGAGUUUGAUCAUGGCUCAGAUUGAACGCUGGCGGCAGGCCUAACACAUGCAAGUCGAACGGUAACAGAAAUCAG
Molecule: ribosomal RNA, 82 nt
Filed under: Escherichia coli
Lineage: Bacteria; Pseudomonadati; Pseudomonadota; Gammaproteobacteria; Enterobacterales; Enterobacteriaceae
Description: partial 16S ribosomal RNA
Rfam family: Bacterial small subunit ribosomal RNA
Source: RNAcentral